GUUUACGGCCAUGCCACCCUGAACAAGCCCAAUGUCUGAUCUCGGAAGCUAAGCAGGGUCGGACCUGGCUAGUACUUGAAUGGGAGACCACCUAGGAAGACCAGGUGCUGUAGGCA
This 116-nucleotide ribosomal RNA is filed under the name Pteropus alecto (black flying fox). Lineage: Eukaryota; Metazoa; Chordata; Mammalia; Chiroptera; Pteropodidae. The record is from RNAcentral. RNAcentral also lists the same sequence under 1 other name.